UACAGAGGUGGCAAGCGUUGUUCGGAAUUACUGGGCGUAAAGGGCGCGUAGGCGGCCAUCUAAGUCAGACGUGAAAUCCCCCGGCUUAACCUGGGAACUGCGUCUGAUACUGGACGGCUUGAGUAUGGGAGAGGGAUGUAGAAUUCCAGGUGUAGCGGUGAAAUGCGUAGAUAUCUGGAGGAAUACCGGUGGCGAAGGCGGCAUCCUGGACAAUUGCUGACGCUCAGGCACGAAAGCGUGGGGAGCAAAAGGG
RNAcentral lists this ribosomal RNA (253 nucleotides) under uncultured bacterium. RNAcentral describes it as "partial 16S ribosomal RNA". It matches the Rfam family "Bacterial small subunit ribosomal RNA", at positions 524 to 776 of the family's 1533-position model. The record is from RNAcentral.